This 540-nucleotide ribosomal RNA is filed under the name Hydrogenophaga sp. enrichment culture. RNAcentral describes it as "bacterial SSU rRNA". It matches the Rfam family "Bacterial small subunit ribosomal RNA", at positions 374 to 907 of the family's 1533-position model. Lineage: Bacteria; Pseudomonadati; Pseudomonadota; Betaproteobacteria; Burkholderiales; Comamonadaceae. The record is from RNAcentral.
GGCGCAAGCCUGAUCCAGCAAUGCCGCGUGCAGGAUGAAGGCCUUCGGGUUGUAAACUGCUUUUGUACGGAACGAAACGGCUCUGGUUAAUACCGGGGGCUAAUGACGGUACCGUAAGAAUAAGCACCGGCUAACUACGUGCCAGCAGCCGCGGUAAUACGUAGGGUGCAAGCGUUAAUCGGAAUUACUGGGCGUAAAGCGUGCGCAGGCGGUUGUGUAAGACAGGCGUGAAAUCCCCGGGCUCAACCUGGGAAUUGCGCUUGUGACUGCACGGCUGGAGUGCGGCAGAGGGGGAUGGAAUUCCGCGUGUAGCAGUGAAAUGCGUAGAUAUGCGGAGGAACACCGAUGGCGAAGGCAAUCCCCUGGGCCUGCACUGACGCUCAUGCACGAAAGCGUGGGGAGCAAACAGGAUUAGAUACCCUGGUAGUCCACGCCCUAAACGAUGUCAACUGGUUGUUGGGUCUCUUCUGACUCAGUAACGAAGCUAACGCGUGAAGUUGACCGCCUGGGGAGUACGGCCGCAAGGUUGAAACUCAAUGA